RNAcentral lists this ribosomal RNA (585 nucleotides) under Cystobasidium sp. NRRL Y-17502. Its description in RNAcentral is "eukaryotic LSU rRNA". The stretch from base 165 to 318 matches the Rfam family "5.8S ribosomal RNA". The record is from RNAcentral. Lineage: Eukaryota; Fungi; Basidiomycota; Cystobasidiomycetes; Cystobasidiales; Cystobasidiaceae.
UCCGUAGGUGAACCUGCGGAAGGAUCAUUAAUGAAUUUUAGGACUCUCUUUUUAGAGGUCCGACCCUUUCAUUUCCUUACACUGUGCACACACUUCUUUUCACACAUUUUAACACUAUAGUAUAAGAAUGUAACAGUCUCUUUAUUGAGCAUAAAUAAAAAUAAAACUUUCAGCAACGGAUCUCUUGGCUCUCGCAUCGAUGAAGAACGCAGCGAAUUGCGAUAAGUAAUGUGAAUUGCAGAAUUCAGUGAAUCAUCGAAUCUUUGAACGCACCUUGCACUCUUUGGUAUUCCGAAGAGUAUGUCUGUUUGAGUGUCAUGAAACUCUCAACCCCCCUAUUUUGUAAUGAGAUGGGCGUGGGCUUGGAUUAUGACUGUUGUCGGCGUAAUUGCCGGCUCAGUUGAAAUACACGAGCAACCCAUUUGAAAUAAACGGCUUGACUCGGCGUAAUAAUUAUUUCGCUGAGGACGUUUUCUUCAAAAGUAAGAGGUGCUUCUAAUGCGCUUUUAUAGCAUUUAUAUUUUAGACCUCAAAUCAGUCAGGACUACCCGCUGAACUUAAGCAUAUCAAUAAGCGGAGGAAAAG